UACACUCCUGCGGGAGGCAGCAGUGGGGAAUAUUGGACAAUGGGCGCAAGCCUGAUCCAGCCAUGCCGCGUGAGUGAUGAAGGCCCUAGGGUUGUAAAGCUCUUUCACCGGAGAAGAUAAUGACGGUAUCCGGAGAAGAAGCCCCGGCUAACUUCGUGCCAGCAGCCGCGGUAAUACGAAGGGGGCUAGCGUUGUUCGGAAUUACUGGGCGUAAAGCGCACGUAGGCGGAUCGAUCAGUCAGGGGUGAAAUCCCAGGGCUCAACCCUGGAACUGCCUUUGAUACUGUCGAUCUGGAGUGUGGAAGGGGUGAGUGGGAUUCCGGGUGUAGAGGUGAAAUUCGUAGAUAUUCGGAGGAACACCAGUGGCGAAGGCGGCUCACUGGUCCAUUACUGACGCUGAGGUGCGAAAGCGUGGGGAGCAAACAGGAUUAGAAACCCUAGUAGUCC
RNAcentral lists this ribosomal RNA (447 nucleotides) under uncultured organism. RNAcentral's name for it is "partial 16S ribosomal RNA". It matches the Rfam family "Bacterial small subunit ribosomal RNA", at positions 332 to 796 of the family's 1533-position model. The record is from RNAcentral.